This is a long non-coding RNA of Octopus sinensis (East Asian common octopus), 1157 nucleotides long. RefSeq lists it as uncharacterized. The transcript is spliced from 2 exons. The record is from RefSeq and is a predicted model, not a curated record. Lineage: Eukaryota; Metazoa; Mollusca; Cephalopoda; Octopoda; Octopodidae.
GCUGGCGUCCGGAAGGGAGUUCAUCCGUAGAAAAUCUGUCUCAACAAACUCCGUCUGAGCCAUGCAAUAAUGGGGGAAAUUGGACGUUAAAUCGAUGGUUUUCUGUGUGAGUAUACUUAACGGCGGACAUCUUCGGAGUUUCUGUAAACCAAAUUCCUCUCACACACAACCCAAUAUUACUGUGGUAAAAAGGCCCAAGGAACCAUAUAGUGUGUUCAAAACCGAAACUGCUUUUUGGGAAACGAAUUUCUUAACCCUCCGAUAAAAAAAAAAAAAAACAAUAUUAUUCUCGUUAUCGUAUCUUGUGUUUGAGUGUUAGGCUUUAAACAACCUUAACUACAGAACGAACUCAAGGACAAGCAAAAUCCUUAAAGUAAGGAAACAAUGCCGUAUAUAAAUAUCCAUGUAUGAAUCAAGAAUAAAAGUAAAGACUAUUCUAGAACGUGGAAACUCCGUGGAUCCGGUUUGUGAUAAUGGUUUCAAAUUUUGACACAAGGCUAACAAUUUCGGUGUCGAGGUUUCCAAAAGACCAACCGAUUGUUUCAAUGAAUUUCCAACAAUGAAAGUAACAAGGGCGGUACCGUAAAUAAUGUAGAACAAAAAUAACAAAGGAAUCUGUUCGCAAAGCCCAGGUUUUGCGAGGGCAUUAGUGAAAGCUACACACAGACGAUUCUACUGUUUCCACCAACCAAAUUUCACCCACAAAACAUCGUCGAUCGACCCCCAAGAAUUCACUUUUCCCCUAAAAUGCCGUCGAGUGCAAUCAAAUCGGAACUACAGUAAGUGCGAAGCUAUUUAACAACAAAACCAUAAAAAUUCAUCUCUUCUCACCACCACACCACCACCACUCUGCAACCACUUCAUUUUUCCUCAGCGGACACUAUUGAUCGAUCUAUUGAAAUACACUAAUCGAAAAUGGCAGAUUGAGCUUGCCUGUUGUAUAUAAUAAUCCAGAAACCUGAAAUACAAGAAGUUGGAAUAUAAAAAAAAAACAAAAAAAACUGAUUCAACCGCAAAACUUUCAUUUAUUUGAUAGAAACGGAAAUGCUCCAAUGUAACAGAUUCACGGUCGUUGGUAAAAACACUUCUAAACACGAACUAAUGAGAAAGUAUCCAGGUAGGUUUUAGUCUUCUGUUAUAAAUUCUGUUUACAUCUA